RNAcentral lists this ribosomal RNA (405 nucleotides) under uncultured bacterium. RNAcentral describes it as "bacterial SSU rRNA". It matches the Rfam family "Bacterial small subunit ribosomal RNA", at positions 355 to 775 of the family's 1533-position model. The record is from RNAcentral.
UGGGGAAUAUUGGGCAAUGGACGCAAGUCUGACCCAGCAACGCCGCGUGAAGGAAGAAGGCUUUCGGGUUGUAAACUUCUUUUGUCAGGGAAGAGCAGAAGACGGUACCUGACGAAUAAGCCACGGCUAACUACGUGCCAGCAGCCGCGGUAAUACGUAGGUGGCAAGCGUUGUCCGGAUUUACUGGGUGUAAAGGGCGUGCAGCCGGGCCGGCAAGUCAGAUGUGAAAUCCACGGGCUUAACCCGUGAACUGCAUUUGAAACUGUUGGUCUUGAGUAUCGGAGAGGUAAUCGGAAUUCCUUGUGUAGCGGUGAAAUGCGUAGAUAUAAGGAAGAACACCAGUGGCGAAGGCGGAUUACUGGACGACAACUGACGGUGAGGCGCGAAAGCGUGGGGAGCAAACAG